GGGUCAAACCCCACAGCUGUAUCGUUAUCCCGUCUUCUUCGUCUUCUUCCUCUCUUUUCAUCUUCAUUCGCUUCUUCUCACAUCUGAAAUCCUCUUUCUGUUUCCAAUCGCGAGCUUUCACUUGUCCUCCCAUGGAUCAUCCACUGGAUCGCUGAGUCAACUCGCAGGUGCAGUUCUAUAAUCUCCAUCCUUUGGCAUUUCCGGAGUCCAUUCCUCAAUCCGCAUUCUGCCGCAGCGACACUAUUGAGAUCUGAUCGGGGGUUUCGAGCGAGGGCGUGAGCUAGGGUUUCGAAGAGCAUCUGACCAUGCCUUCGGUGCCCCUUGAGCUACUCCUCAGCCCUAUUAUGCCUUCUUUAGCUUACUUCCAUGGCGGUCUCUGCUCCCAUCGCCUGAAACACCUCGAGAAAAGUGAUCGGCGCGGUAAUCUUAGUUAACAUCAGGAUCAAUUCCAUCCCUCUCGUUGUUUUCUGUUCUUUUUAGCUGUUUCAGCCUUUCCACUUUGAUCUGUACUCGUCAUCUUCGAAGCCAAUCGAGCUUUCCCGUUGACAAAUUUUUGAUCGGGAGUAGGCGGAUCUCCACCAUCAGCUUCAUUAUCGUUGCGAUCGUAUAUAUUCCAUUGAUGGACGAAUCCUUUCCUUUUGAUGAGCCUCAUUUCGAUGCAUCUGACAUUUUGGUUAAAGAACUGGCCGGUACUCUGCGUACAUCUGUACGGAUUGCUGACGAUCACGAAAUGGCCGAUACCUCUGAUGGGGAGGAGGAGGAGGAGGAGCUUAAUGACUAUGAAGGGUGUGCAAUCACAUCUACUCAAAAGCAUCUGAACAGAUAUGUGAGCUUUCCAUCUCCAAGGAAGACGAUGUCUCCUUCAUCUUCUGAUAAAGAAGAUGAGGAAUCUGAGCCAGCGUUGCCGGAACUAUUUUCUGAAGAACACGCACCUUUAAAGCUUGUCUCUGCCAUGAAAGGUAGCCGUGAGAAACUAGGGGCAGCUCAGAGAAAGCUGAAGGUAACAUGGGCUCCCGAUGUUUACGACCCACCUCCGACAUCAGUGUCUCAUGUCGUGAGAAGGGGCACGAAGCAGCAGAAGCUGUCCAGGAAAGACAAGAGACAUGGCAAGAGAGGCCACAAGGGAAAGGACUUCUCUCGAGGCAAAGGGAGCAAGGACUGCUCAAAUGGGGCUACUGGGAAGGAUAAGAAGAAAAAGAAGAAGAAGCAAUUUGGCCAAACCCCUCCAAGCUCCAGUACUUGCUAUAAAUUGCUAGAUGCUAGUAAUAGUGUAAUGGAUCCCAAGCCAGAUCAGGUGGAGAACUUGGAUAUGGGCAUUCUGGACACCUCCUGUGGGAGCAGCUUCUUGAAAAUAUCUUUGACUAAGCCACAUUACCCUGUUGCAGAGGCACUGUGAGACAGCCAUCUCCAACCAGUACCUGGGCCAUCUUCCCAGAAGCUUGGAUUCCCAAGGGCUGCUCCAGUUUUGUUGAGGACUCUCCGGCCUCAUGACAGCUGUGAGGGCCGAAAGGAACCUCGACUCUUAGAGACCUCGGCCUCUGCCCUUGCCAGUGAGGAAGAACAAAGGUUUUGGGGACUUGGUUCUUCUGGUAUGCAGAUUCCCCAUCCUUGUGGGACCUCACCCACUCUGGCUUCUCGACGGGACGACAGGUUCCAAAGGGCAUCUCUCUUCGCACAUCAAAGCGAGGGGUUUGAACAGUCCUCGACGGAACCCCAAGUGGUUCUGCGACCAGCUUCUUGCUUGCGACUUUGACCACUUCCAGUAAUUCUUCCGUCACGGUCAUGUUCUCGUGUCCACGCCCCAUCAUAUCUUCCAAGCAGGGCGCUGCCUUGUCGGACUCCCCAUUCAUUUGGCUGCAACGAUCCGCUAGGUUUUGAUCCUCUCUAAAGUCUGCACGCUCUCUACUUAGCGUUGUCAGAUGAUCAACCAUGGACAGACGGCUGUUGCAUUUAUAAGGGGAUAUAGAUAGAUCCUAAUAUUACAGUUUACUAGUCGUCUCAUCUUCAAGAGAGAAGAGAUUCAGAAUAUUUAGUCGUCUUAUCUUCAAGGGACAAGAGAAAAUCUUUAGGAAAAAUUGUAGCGGUAGAAGGUCGUAAAUGCUAUCUAUCUUCAAGGGACAAGAGAUCAAGGGACAAGAGAAAAUCUAUAGGAAAAAUUGUAGCAGUAGAAGAUCGCAAAUGCUAUCUAUCUUCAAGGGACUAGAGAUUCAGAAUAUUUGGGAGAAAUUGUAGCGGUAGAAGAUCGAAAAUGCUAUUGAGCCUUCAGGUAUUGUAAUGAGAUGACUUAGUUUGAAAUAGGAAAUCCUUCUAUAAAUGAUAUCA
Molecule: non-coding RNA, 2322 nt
Organism: Punica granatum (pomegranate)
Lineage: Eukaryota; Viridiplantae; Streptophyta; Magnoliopsida; Myrtales; Lythraceae
Source: RefSeq, a predicted model, not a curated record